This 465-nucleotide ribosomal RNA is filed under the name uncultured bacterium. RNAcentral describes it as "partial 16S ribosomal RNA". It matches the Rfam family "Bacterial small subunit ribosomal RNA", at positions 338 to 795 of the family's 1533-position model. The record is from RNAcentral.
CCUACGGGUGGCAGCAGUGGGGAAUAUUGCGCAAUGGGCGAAAGCCUGACGCAGCGACGCCGCGUGAGGGAUGAAGGUCCUCGGAUCGUAAACCUCUGUUAGCAGGGAAGAACGGUCACUGUGCUAAUCAGCAGUGAAUUGACGGUACCUGCAAAGGAAGCACCGGCUAAUUCCGUGCCAGCAGCCGCGGUAAUACGGAGGGUGCGAGCGUGAAUCGGAAUUACUGGGCGUAAAGCGCUCGUAGGCGGUAUGUCAAGUCAAGGGUGAAAUCCCCGCGCUCAACGUGGGAACUGCCUUUGAAACUGGCAAACUGGAGUGUGUGAGAGGAUAGUGGAAUUCCAGGUGUAGGAGUGAAAGCCGUAGAUAUCUGGAGGAACAUCAGUGGCGAAGGCGACUAUCUGGCACAUAACUGACGCUGAGGAGCGAAAGCGUGGGUAGCAAACAGGAUUAGAUACCCCAGUAGUC